This is a non-coding RNA of Schistosoma rodhaini, 45 nucleotides long. The record is from Rfam. NCBI's taxonomy places the organism in Eukaryota, Metazoa, Platyhelminthes, Trematoda, Strigeidida, Schistosomatidae.
ACCCAGCUGACGAGUCCCAAAUAGGACGAAACGCGCAUCCUGGAU